This 30-nucleotide non-coding RNA is filed under the name Mus musculus (house mouse). The record is from RNAcentral. Lineage: Eukaryota; Metazoa; Chordata; Mammalia; Rodentia; Muridae.
UCCAAGCGGUGCACGGCUCUGUUGGAGGUC